RNAcentral lists this unclassified non-coding RNA (229 nucleotides) under uncultured fungus. RNAcentral's name for it is "sequence contains 5.8S rRNA gene". The stretch from base 1 to 53 matches the Rfam family "5.8S ribosomal RNA", at positions 102 to 154 of the family's 154-position model. The record is from RNAcentral. Lineage: Eukaryota; Fungi.
GAACGCAAAUUGCGCCCUUUGGUAUUCCGAAGGGCAUGCCUGUUUGAGUGUCAUAUAAACCUCACCUCUAUUGUUUUAUUACAGCCGUGGUGCUUUGGGUGUCUGCCGUUUACUCUGGCUCACCUUAAAUGUCUAAGUGGAAUGCGUAAUAAGUCUUCGCAACCCUCCACUAUAACACACACUUUAUAUUCUGACCUCAAAUCAGGUAGGACUACCCGCUGAACUUAAG